UGAGUUCAUCGUCUUCUUCUAGUAUAGCAAGUGCCUCAUGUAAUGUACAAUCUCCAUUGAAACAAAAAAGCCAUUACAUAAGGAAUAACCAAAGAAAAGACAUAAAUUAGAUUUUUAGUAUACAUAAUAAAAAGACAACAUAAUGACCUAGCGGUGCCGUACGGCAUCCAUAUCUUUUAACAUGCCAUAAUCCAAACAAUAAAACAAAAUACGACAGUUUUAUGAUAUGAACAAGUCAAUGCGAGGUUUGGCAUCAAGUGUAAAUGCAUAAAAGUAUUACAUUACUCAAAAUAAAAAAAUUAUGAUCCCCUUACUUGAAUGUUGCAUCCAUUAUUGGCAGCAAUUUCACAUCACUGAUUUACAGAUGCUCGUGCAGGUCACAAAAAGCUUAUGGGACAAAACAAAGUAAAUGGAGUAAUGGCUAUGUCCCUCUAGCAUGGCAUUGACAACAAACCACUUGACUUCACCUCUUAUUACAAAGACAGGGCCCGACAAUUUAAACAUACGAAAUUGGGUGCCAUAUGGCACCGCUAGGCUAUAAUGGGUUAAUAGCCGAUAGAUCUGUCAAAC
Maniola jurtina (meadow brown) is the source of this 570-nucleotide long non-coding RNA. RefSeq lists it as uncharacterized. The transcript has 3 exons. Lineage: Eukaryota; Metazoa; Arthropoda; Insecta; Lepidoptera; Nymphalidae. The record is from RefSeq and is a predicted model, not a curated record.